This 1715-nucleotide ribosomal RNA is filed under the name Clostridium beijerinckii. Its description in RNAcentral is "partial 23S ribosomal RNA". It matches the Rfam family "Bacterial large subunit ribosomal RNA", at positions 1 to 1728 of the family's 2925-position model. Lineage: Bacteria; Bacillati; Bacillota; Clostridia; Eubacteriales; Clostridiaceae. The record is from RNAcentral.
GGUCAAGCUACAAAGGGCGCAUGGUGAAUGCCUUGGCAUCAGGAGCCGAUGAAGGACGCGAUAAGCUGCGAUAAGCUUCGGGUAGACGCACAUAGUCAGAGAUCCGAAGAUUUCCGAAUGAGGAAACUCACAUGGGAAACCCCAUGUAUCAUAAAGUGAAUACAUAGCUUUAUGAAGGUAUACCCAGGGAACUGAAACAUCUAAGUACCUGGAGGAAGAGAAAGAAAAAUCGAUUUUCUUAGUAGCGGCGAGCGAAAAGGAAAGAGCCCAAACCAGAGAUUUAUCUCUGGGGUUGCGGACAGAACAUAACGAGAAAUCAUAGUUAAUUGAACACAACUGGAAAGUUGGACCACAGUGGGUAAUAGUCCCGUAAGUGAAAACUAUGAUAAUCAGUUCUGCACCAGAGUACCACGAGACACGUGAAACCUUGUGGGAAGCAGGGAGGACCACCUCCCAAGGCUAAAUACUACCUGAUGACCGAUAGUGAAGCAGUACCGUGAGGGAAAGGUGAAAAGAACCCCGGGAGGGAGUGAAAUAGAACCUGAAACCAUGUGCCUACAACCGAUCAGAGCACCUUAUGUGUGUGAUGAUGUGCUUUUUGUAGAACGAGCCAACGAGUUACGGUAUGUAGCGAGGUUAAGUACUUAAGGUACGGAGCCGAAGGGAAACCGAGUCUUAAUAGGGCGACUAGUUGCAUGCUGUAGACCCGAAAACCGGGUGACCUAUCCAUGGCCAGGUUGAAGCGAGGGUAAAAACCUCGUGGAGGACCGAACCACGUUGCUGUUGAAAAAGCAUGGGAUGAGCUGUGGAUAGCGGAGAAAUUCCAAUCGAACUCGGAUAUAGCUGGUUCUCCUCGAAAUAGCUUUAGGGCUAGCGUCCGGGAAAAUGUGAGUAGUGGAGGUAGAGCCACUGAUAGGCUUAGGGGGCAUAGCGCUUACCGAACCUUAUAAAACUCCGAAUGCCACAUACUAUCAGUCCGGCAGUCAGACUAUGAAAAGAUAAGUUCAUGGUCAAAAGGGAAACAGCCCAGAUCGUCAGCUAAGUCCCAAAGUGUAAGUUAAUGGAAAGGAUGUGGGAUUUAAGACAACUAGGAUGUUGGCUUAGAAGCAGCCACUCAUUAAAGAGUGCGUAUAGCUCACUAGUCAGAGAUCUGCGCCGAAAUGGUUCCGGGGCUCAAACUUACCACGAAAGUACGGGUUCACGCAUUUGCGUGAGCGGUAGAGGAGCGUCGUAAUCGGGCUGAAGUCGUACCGUAAGGAAGCGGUGGACUGAUUACGAGUGAGAAUGUUGGCAUUAGUAGCGAGAUGUAGGCGGAGAAUCCUACAGGCGAAUAUCUAAGUUUUCCUGAUAAGUUUGUCUUCUCAGGGUUAGUCGGGCCUAAGGCGAGGCCGAAAGGCGUAGUCGAUGGACAAUUGGUUGAUAUUCCAAUACCACUAUAAUCGUUAUUAUCGAUGGUGUGACGGAGAAGGAUAGGAUGUGCUAGCUAUUGGAUGCUAGUCUAAGCGUUUAGGGAGUUGGGAUUGGCAAAUCCGUUCCAACAAUUCUGAGGCGUGAUGGGGAAGGUUCUACGGAACCGAAGUAUCUGAUUCCAUGCUUCCAAGAAAAGCAUCUAGAGAGAGAAGUAGUGCCCGUACCGCAAACCGACACAGGUAGAUGAGGAGAGAAUCCUAAGGCCGACGGAAGAAUUGCAGUUAAGGAACUAGGCAAAUUGACCC